CUUGAGCAGGCAGAGUUUAUACCACAGCUGGAGGAAGCCCUUGGCCUCAGAGUUGCAGUUGCUGGCAUUUGGCAGUAGGAACUUGGAGGCUGGGCCUGCAGGGACAUGUUAGGGAGAUAUGGGAGGGGAACUGAUGGCACGUUCUGUGAGUACCUUUAGAGUUCAAGUCAGGUAUCACCUACUUUGGGAAGCACUCCAUGGCCCCUCAUUUGUUUCUCCCCUCGUGAGUUGAGUGUCUCUCAGCUUUGCUCCCACCUACCCACACGUCACUGUAUUUAACUGUCUGCAUCUCUCCUGCUAAACUCUGAGCCCACUGGAGACAUGGACCCGGACUUCCAUCACUGUAGCUCUGUGGUACCUAGAAGAAGAAAUGACCCAGAGAGAAUCUGGCACAUGUCAUCCAUCUCCCGUAGCUGCUGAGUGACAUGGAAUAUACAUAAAGCAUCAUCAAAAAGAACAGGAGAAGAGGAAAAGGGAAAAACAGCACCCAGAAAACUUGGAGCCUCAUGCUUUUAAAAGCUUAUUUGAAACCCAUUCAUCCUUCUAGCCAGCCAUCCAUCCAACCAAUAAAAGCACACUUGUUGAAGUAUUUAAUUUGUCCAAGUACCUAGGAGAGGUCCUGUGGGGAUGCAGCCAUGAAUCUGAUAAAACACUAUUGUGGAGGCUGAGUAUCAACUUCCUGGGCUCUUGACUAUUUGCUUUACCUAUUUUUGAGGGCACUUCUCACAUCUUCAC
Molecule: long non-coding RNA, 735 nt
Organism: Herpailurus yagouaroundi (jaguarundi)
Lineage: Eukaryota; Metazoa; Chordata; Mammalia; Carnivora; Felidae
Exons: 3
Source: RefSeq, a predicted model, not a curated record